Mesitornis unicolor (brown roatelo) is the source of this 47-nucleotide non-coding RNA. The record is from Rfam. Lineage: Eukaryota; Metazoa; Chordata; Aves; Mesitornithiformes; Mesitornithidae.
AAAACGGAUUUUUUAAAAUCCAUUUGAUAUUUAAAAUGCAAGGAUUU